Molecule: ribosomal RNA, 253 nt
Filed under: uncultured bacterium
Lineage: Bacteria
Description: partial 16S ribosomal RNA
Rfam family: Bacterial small subunit ribosomal RNA
Source: RNAcentral
UACGGGGGGGGCAAGCGUUGUUCGGAAUUACUGGGCGUAAAGGGCUCGUAGGCGGCCAACUAAGUCAGACGUGAAAUCCCUCGGCUUAACCGGGGAACUGCGUCUGAUACUGGAUGGCUUGAGUUUGGGAGAGGGAUGCGGAAUUCCAGGUGUAGCGGUGAAAUGCGUAGAUAUCUGGAGGAACACCGGUGGCGAAGGCGGGUCUCUGGGACGGUACUGACGCUGAGACGCGAAAGCGUGGGGAGCGAACAGG